RNAcentral lists this ribosomal RNA (497 nucleotides) under uncultured bacterium. Its description in RNAcentral is "partial 16S ribosomal RNA". It matches the Rfam family "Bacterial small subunit ribosomal RNA", at positions 28 to 507 of the family's 1533-position model. The record is from RNAcentral.
GACGAACGCUGGCGGCGUGCCUAAUACAUGCAAGUUGAGCGAUGAAGAUUGGUGCUUGCACCAAUUUGAAGAGCAGCGAACGGGUGAGUAACGCGUGGGGAAUCUGCCUUUGAGCGGGGGACAACAUUUGGAAACGAAUGCUAAUACCGCAUAAUAACUUUAAACAUAAGUUUUAAGUUUGAAAGAUGCAAUUGCAUCACUCAAAGAUGAUCCCGCGUUGUAUUAGCUAGUUGGUGAGGUAAAGGCUCACCAAGGCGAUGAUACAUAGCCGACCUGAGAGGGUGAUCGGCAACAUUGGGGCUGAGACACGGCCCAAACUCCUACGGGAGGCAGCAGUAGGGAAUCUUCGGCAAUGGACGAAAGUCUGACCGAGCAACGCCGCGUGAGUGAAGAAGGUUUUCGGAUCGUAAAACUCUGUUGGUAGAGAAGAACGUUGGUGAGAGUGGAAAGCUCAUCAAGUGACGGUAACUACCCAGAAAGGGACGGCUAACUACGUG